This 283-nucleotide ribosomal RNA is filed under the name uncultured bacterium. RNAcentral describes it as "partial 16S ribosomal RNA". It matches the Rfam family "Bacterial small subunit ribosomal RNA", at positions 773 to 1060 of the family's 1533-position model. The record is from RNAcentral.
GUGGAUUAGAUACCCUGGUAGUCCACGCCCUAAACGAUGAAUACUCGAUGUUGGCGAUAUACGGUCAGCGUCUAAGCGAAAGCGUUAAGUAUUCCACCUGGGGAGUACGCCCGCAAGGGUGAAACUCAAAGGAAUUGACGGGGGCCCGCACAAGCGGAGGAGCAUGUGGUUUAAUUCGAUGAUACGCGAGGAACCUUACCCGGGCUUGAAAGUUAGUGAAUGGAGCAGAGACGCUCCAGUCCUUCGGGACACGAAACUAGGUGCUGCACGGCUGUCGACAACU